Poeciliopsis prolifica (blackstripe livebearer) is the source of this 2143-nucleotide RNA transcript. RefSeq lists it as uncharacterized. The transcript is spliced from 4 exons. Lineage: Eukaryota; Metazoa; Chordata; Actinopteri; Cyprinodontiformes; Poeciliidae. The record is from RefSeq and is a predicted model, not a curated record.
ACAGCAUAACUGAAACAGUUUUGUCAGUCUGUUAGUCUAGAUCUGGUGUGUCCAUGUCUUGUCUAACAGUAUCAAAGUCAUGCAGAGACCUGGACACAAAGGCUGACGAAGCAGCAAAAUGUUGAGGCUGAUAAAGAAGAAAACUAACAGAUGAAGAUGAUGUCCAGCAUCCUGCUGCUCCUCAUCCUCAGCUCAUGUCUCUGUGCAGCAACAUUUGUAGUGAAUGUGACACAGAGCAGCUAUCAGGCAGAGGAGAAGCAGAACAUCACUCUGGAGUGGACCUUCACCACCAAGACUCAGGGAACAUGGAGGAAUCUGUUCAUCUACUGUGAAGUGAACACGGAUCAUGGAGUCUUAGUUCUCUAUCAUAUUCAUGAAGGAGUUGAGAUUCCAGAGUCUCAGGAUGAUCAGUUUUCAGGACGAGUCCAGAGCGACAAAGACGUCCUCAGAGAAGGACGAAUCAGACUCCAUGUGUCCAGACUGAGGACUGAAGACUCUGGUCGGUAUCUGUGUGACGUGAAAACUGAAGAUGGAUUCAACUCUGGAAGAUGUCGACUCAACGUUACUGAUGAGAAAAAACCAUUAAUAUCUGCUGAUCAGAUCCAAACUCAGAGACCAACUUGGACUCCAGAACCAGAGAGACAAGAAUGGAUGAACAUCAUCAUCAUCAUCAUCAACAGUGUGGGACUGACAGCAGCAGCUCUGAUUUUUCUUCUUUCUUAUUUUUUAGAUAAAUGUUUUCUACCAGUAGAUGUUUAUUUUAAUAAUGACAAUGAAACAAGAGAUAGUUCAAUCACUUUAUUAUUAGAAACAGUUUGAUCAGAUUUAGGGGAAUCUAAAUUUGUUGCAUCAAACAAUUUGGUUGAUUAUUUUGAGCAGCUGAAAGAUUUUAAAACUGAAACUCAACAUAAAUGAGCCUUAAAGAGAAUUUAAUCUAAGAUCAUAAUUUAUUGUUCAGUUCAGUUUUUCAGGUUUUAUCUGAUUUUCUUCCUUCUGUUCAUGAACCAGCAGCAUAGUGAUGUUCUGGUUCUGGUUCUGACCCGCUGGCUGCUGGAAACAAACUCAACCAGAACCUGGAACCAGAACCCUGAUCUUAGAUGCUUUAAGCUGCAGCAGAUGAUGAACCAGUGAAGCUCUGGAUCUGCUCCACUGGUUCUGGUUCUGAAGGUUCUGCUGUAAAUAGUGAUGAGUCUGACGACACUGAAACCUCCGCGCAUGCGUCGAGCAAACAAGGCGAAGCCCCGUGUGGGUGCGCGUAUCUCUUUAAGGAAAACCACGUGACCGAUACAAUUCCUGUGUCGUUUGGUUGUGAAGGCGCCAAAUUGUAUUUAUGAACAGAAAAUGUAUCGACAUGUUGGUGGGUUUUGUUGGAUGGAGAUAGUUUGUGUUGUUUGGCUUGUCAGUGAAAACUAUGAUCAAUCGAGGAAGAGGAAGUUUUUCUCCCGUUUGAUCAUUUUGAUCUUAUCACGGAGAAUAAGGUCAAUUAUUAUUCCGUUCUCGUUUCCACUAUUGAUCAUUCUUCUGUCGGGUUAUUCCAAUUUCUUUCUGAAGAAUACUUUAAUUAGUUUACGUGGAUUAACUUUUAUUUCUAUUGUAGAUUAAAUGUAUACAACAACGUGAUCAUACAACAUCACGUUGUUGUAUAAAAUUGCACUAAAUGUCGUCCUAAAAAAAUCAUUUUUAAUACCAAAAAGGUUCAAAUUGUCCAUUCUUGAACCUCUUACUAUAUUACGCUUUACGCAACUAUAUUUACUUUUUUAAACCGGUUUGAGGUCAAGAAGGAAAAUCCAUACAGCCAAUAUGGACCAGCAAAAGCAAGAGAAAAUUCCCUAAAGCUUUUGGGCAAAAUGAAAAUGCUUUAAAGUGAAUAAUCGUAUUAUAUUCAAGUUUCAUAAAAGGACCAGAAACUAUUAAUGUGUCGCUUCUCCGAUGAAGGAAUAUUGUCUGAUUUGAUGAAUUUAUGAUCUAAUUGCACUUUCAAUUUUUCAAGAUAGAAAUACGUCAGAAGGAAGAAACUGCAGCAUUCAUCUCGGCUGAUUUGUAAACAGUUAAAAAAUAAUAAAAAAUACAAGUCAGUUUUUUUUGUUGUUUUGUUUUCUUGGUAAUUGGCCCAAAGAUGUUAAAGCAGCUGAUGUUUCUAAAU